UGCCAGCCGCCGCGGUAAUACUGAAGGUGCAAGCGUUAAUCGGAAUCACUGGGCGUAAAGCGCUCGUAGGUGGCUUUGUAAGUCAGAUGUGAAAGCCCACGGCUCAACCGUGGAAUUGCAUUUGAUACUGGCACGCUAGAGUGCAGUAGAGGGAGGUGGAAUUUCCGGUGUAGCGGUGAAAUGCGUAGAGAUCGGAAGGAACACCAGUGGCGAAGGCGGCCUCCUGGACCAAUACUGACGCUGAGGUGCGAAAGCGUGGGGAGCAAACAGGAUUAGAUA
This 279-nucleotide ribosomal RNA is filed under the name uncultured bacterium. RNAcentral's name for it is "partial 16S ribosomal RNA". It matches the Rfam family "Bacterial small subunit ribosomal RNA", at positions 506 to 784 of the family's 1533-position model. The record is from RNAcentral.